CAUAAAUCAUCAGCAGGGUCUGUACCUGGUAAGGACAACAGCUGGAUUAUAGGCAUCUCACUGGUAUGUUCCCAUCUGGCUUCAAUUCUUUUUACAUGCAAAUCUAUAGUGAUCCAGGUCCCACCAGAGACCAUUUGAAAUUCAGCCACAGCUGAGCCAGGUGCAGGGAACUCCAGGUGGGGGCACAAGGAGAGUUAAUAGGGCUCCCUCUUCCUCUCCUUUCUCAUUUAAAAAUAGCCCUCUUGCUGUAUUCCUGCUUCUGUCAGUUAAUGUCAGCAUCCCAUCCACAAGAUACAAUACAGAGUCUCUAUGCCCUGUGGAAAUUGGGAGAAUGCAUUCUUUCAUCAGUCUUCACAAAGUGCUCACAACUGGGAAAAAACAAAGAACAGAAAUAGUCACUGACUUUGGAACAGAGAUGAGGAAAUAAGAGGGACAUUAACUGCCAUCAAAGAAGCAGGACUUUUGUCAUCUCUGGAAGUAUUCUUUCACAUUUUACCAAGAUGAUUUCAGGAAAUGUCCAACAGUAGUAGUAACACGAAGGAACAGCUCUGUAAGUUCACUUUGCAAGACUAUGUGAACUGUCUUGGUUUCUUUCAAAUGCCUGUACAUCAUAUACCUGCUGGCAAUAAAGCUGUAAAUUAACAAGGGCUUACAGGUCUAAGAAGAGUUUUUGGACUUUUUACUUCUGAGGUUAUGAUGAUGGCUGCAUCAUAGCUAUUCCACUGCAUUCCAAUUACACUCAUCCCUCAGUGCAGUACGACACUGCACACUGUGCUAACACAGCAUGCCUGGCCAUCGGGCUGGAAACACUACCUGAAAGGACCAUUUUUCAGUGUGCAGAGCCUUCUACUGCUAAGGCACUCAUGCUGUGGCUAGGAGAUGUGAGCCAGCAUCGUGGUUUACAUCUCUGCAAGUUUUCCCUCCAAAAGUGAUGAUUGAACAGUUAAUUUUAGCUGAAAAAAAGUUCAAUAAAGAGUCAAAAAUAAUAAUGACCUUCAUAAAUAAAGCAGCGUGACUGAGAUGAGUAAUAUCUACUGCCUGACUACUGACUAGAUACUCCCAAACUACAAGCUAGCUAGUAAAAGAAAAAUAAAAGCAUAUACAGAACACUGUACAAGAGAGGCUAUCAGAACGAAACGUUUUAACUCUGUGCCACCUGUUUAAAUUGGUUUUGCAACCAUAAGAAUGAAUGGAAGCACCUCCGUAACCCCGGCGCUGGCCUUGCGACGCCAGGGCUGGCCGUGACUCCGCGGGGCGGUGCU
This 1262-nucleotide long non-coding RNA is filed under the name Corvus moneduloides (New Caledonian crow). RNAcentral describes it as "lncRNA (ENSCMUG00000001935.2)". Lineage: Eukaryota; Metazoa; Chordata; Aves; Passeriformes; Corvidae. The record is from RNAcentral.